GUGCAGCUAAGUGAGGGAGAUGUGAGUCUCCAACUUCAGUGAUUUUUGCCUGUUCGUUCCAGUCAGCGGCAGCAGAGAACUGGAAGGAAAGGCGAACAAAGGAGGAAUUGGCUUUGAGAUAAACCUGUUUGAGCGCGUGCUACGGGUGUGUGUUGCUAUGGUGACCAGCGAGCUGAGAUAGGGGCGGGGCUUUACCUAGCAGAGACUUGAUGAGUGACUUGUUUUGUUUUGAUUACAAUCACGCCUUACCUGUUAACACGUGAUAGCACUGUGUUGUCUGGGAAAAGACUGGGCGAGUUUGCUUUGCAUGCUAUGUAGCAUAGUUUAACACAAGGUCAGGGACAAGCUAUGCUAGCUAGCACUGUGUUGUCUGGGAAAAGACUGGGCGAGUUUGCUUUGCAUGCUAUGCUAGCAUAGUUUAACACAAGGUCAGGGACAAGCUAUGCUAGCUAGCACUGUGUUGUCUGGGAAAAGACUGGGCGAGUUUGCUUUGCAUGCUAUGCUAGCAUAGUUUAACGCAAGGUCAGGGACAAGCUAUGCUAGCUAGCUGCUGUCAGCUUGGCUAAACACAAGGUCAG
Molecule: long non-coding RNA, 578 nt
Organism: Oncorhynchus tshawytscha (Chinook salmon)
Lineage: Eukaryota; Metazoa; Chordata; Actinopteri; Salmoniformes; Salmonidae
Source: Ensembl